GGAGAUAUGGCUCAGUUGGUAGAGUGCUUGCCUAGCAUGCAUGAGGCUAUGGGUUCAAGUCUCAGCACCA
Molecule: transfer RNA, 70 nt
Filed under: Cricetulus griseus (Chinese hamster)
Lineage: Eukaryota; Metazoa; Chordata; Mammalia; Rodentia; Cricetidae
Rfam family: tRNA
About the family: Transfer RNA (tRNA) molecules are approximately 80 nucleotides in length.
Source: Rfam by way of RNAcentral